RNAcentral lists this ribosomal RNA (255 nucleotides) under uncultured bacterium. RNAcentral's name for it is "partial 16S ribosomal RNA". It matches the Rfam family "Bacterial small subunit ribosomal RNA", at positions 524 to 776 of the family's 1533-position model. The record is from RNAcentral.
UACGUAGGGCGCAAGCGUUAUCCGGAAUUAUUGGGCGUAAAGAGCUCGUAGGCGGUUUGUCGCGUCUGCCGUGAAAGUCCGGGGCUCAACUCCGGAUCUGCGGUGGGUACGGGCAGACUAGAGUGAUGUAGGGGGAGACUGGAAUUCCUGGUGUAGCGGUGAAAUGCGCAGAUAUCAGGAGGAACACCGAUGGCGAAGGCAGGUCUCUGGGCUGUAACUGACGCUGAGGAGCGAAAGCAUGGGGGAGCGAACAGG